Molecule: long non-coding RNA, 1025 nt
Organism: Phragmites australis (common reed)
Lineage: Eukaryota; Viridiplantae; Streptophyta; Magnoliopsida; Poales; Poaceae
Exons: 6
Source: RefSeq, a predicted model, not a curated record
UCCCGUCUCUCCUCAAGAAACCCCGUCUCGUUUCGGCCCCCUGUUUCUUGCCCUCUUCCUGCCUGAAAUUUCUAUUACGCGGGCACGCAUUACAGCGCUCCCUCUCGCUCCACUUGAUGCGUGCUGACCCUGUCUCCUUUUGUUUAAAACUUUUCUGUAAAAUGUUUUAGUAAAUUUUCGGUCAAAAGUUAUGUUCAAAAUAUUUGCCUCCGAUGCUGAGCGCUGCAAAUGCUCUGUGCAGCUAGAGAUGGACCUUGCGUCCCCGCCCAGUUUGCUUCGACAAUUGGUACCACUGCAUCCGAUGGCGCUAAUGGGGAAAGGAUGUGUCAAGAAGUACUGUGGCAGCAUCAGAAUCGGUGAUGGGAGGUUGUACUGCUCCAUGGAAUGCAAAGGUCCAGUGGCAAGGAGGCAGCAGUCGUCCCUGCAACUAGUUCGUUAAGGCUCUACUCGCCCAGGAAUUCACCACGGGACAUCAGAGGGACGCCUUCUGCAUCAGCUGCCGCGUUGCGUUCUGUACUGCCCUGCACACGGAUCAUGCGAGUCACCCGUCCGUCGAGAUCAUUUUGAAUGGUGGCCGGUUCGUUGCGCGCGUCCCUGCCAUGGAGGAGUGGCUCGGCAACUUCGCUUUUGUUCCGGAUGAUGGAGAAGGCUACCGAUUGCUGCCCUUGACUACGCCUCCGCCUCCGUCUCCGAACGGUUGUCAAUGUGGCAAUGUGAUCGGCGGGUAUCUGUGGUACUGCUCACUUCUAUGCAUGGUUAGGGAACGGCGAGCGUGCCCGCCCAAUCGCCUCUUCGACGAACCGCCACUCUUGAUGACUCGGCUGAAAAGGGACGUCUGGCGCAUCCUCAGAAUCGCCAACUCGAGAGACCAUCAUGCCUGAUGACUCGACUAGAGAGGCUACAGAUGCCUUAGCUUUGCCUGGUCCAUGUGUAACUCCUCCAUCGGCUCUACCUGCCGGACCAAGAACGAAGAAGGUGACCACAAAAAGGCUAAUGUCAAGCAUCAUUUCGCACUUCCCAAUUUA